AGCAGCCGCGGUAAUUCCAGCUCCAAUAGCGUAUAUUAAAGUUGUUGCAGUUAAAAAGCUCGUAGUUGAAUUUCGGGGUUCUACCGUUGGUCGGGCUUUGUCUGUACUGGCGUGUAGAAUUUCUACCUUCUGGGGAACCAUCAUGUUAUUAAUUUAGCGUGGUGGGAAACCAGGACCUUUACCUUGAAAAAUUAGAGUGUUCAAAGCAGGCUUAUGUCUGAAUACAUUAGCAUGGAAUAAUAGAAUAGGACGGUGGUCCUGUUUUGUUGGUUUCUGAAUCACCGUAAUGAUUAAUAGGGAUAGUUGGGGGCAUUAGUAUUCAAUUGUCAGAGGUGAAAUUCUUGGAUUUAUUGAAGACUAACUUCUGCGAAAGCAUUUGCCAAGGAUGUUUUCAUUAAUCAAGAACGAAAGUUAGGGGAUCGAAGACGAUCAGAUACCGUCGUAGUCUUA
This 450-nucleotide ribosomal RNA is filed under the name uncultured Scutellospora. RNAcentral describes it as "SSU rRNA". It matches the Rfam family "Eukaryotic small subunit ribosomal RNA", at positions 569 to 1028 of the family's 1831-position model. Lineage: Eukaryota; Fungi; Glomeromycota; Glomeromycetes; Diversisporales; Gigasporaceae. The record is from RNAcentral.